UGAGCAAUCUGCCCUUCUCAUCGGAAUAAGCGUUGGAAACGACGUCUAAUGCCGAAUACGACCUCCUUUCGCAUGAUCGGAGGUGGAAAGCUCCGGCGGAGAAGGAUGAGCUCGCGGCCUAUCAGCUUGUUGGUGAGGUAAUAGCUCACCAAGGCGAUGACGGGUAGCCGGCCUGAGAGGGUGACCGGCCACACUGGGACUGAGACACGGCCCAGACCUCUACGGGAGG
RNAcentral lists this ribosomal RNA (229 nucleotides) under uncultured bacterium. RNAcentral describes it as "partial 16S ribosomal RNA". It matches the Rfam family "Bacterial small subunit ribosomal RNA", at positions 118 to 347 of the family's 1533-position model. The record is from RNAcentral.